This 29-nucleotide small RNA is filed under the name Bombyx mori (domestic silkworm). Its description in RNAcentral is "ovarian small RNA-21918". The record is from RNAcentral. Lineage: Eukaryota; Metazoa; Arthropoda; Insecta; Lepidoptera; Bombycidae.
UAGACCGUGCAGUACGCGGCGAGGCUAAG